GGAGUGUGAAGAUUAUCUCAGAUCCGAAUUUCCGUACCUUUUUAGCACCUAGCUUAGGAAUCGGGGAGGAGGUUCUUGUAAGGGGGAUAGGUGUGUCACACCCUGUUUUCACUUUGCCUCAACUGUAGUCUUUUCAAAUUUGGAGUUUAUUAAAACUUUCUAAGCCAAUGCGAUGAUUGCCAUUGAUUGUAUGUAUGCUUGAGUGUGUGGAUCUAAAAAUACAUUUUUA
Molecule: long non-coding RNA, 229 nt
Filed under: Hordeum vulgare
Lineage: Eukaryota; Viridiplantae; Streptophyta; Magnoliopsida; Poales; Poaceae
Description: long non-coding RNA (HVUL_LNC015517)
Source: RNAcentral